Oncorhynchus masou masou (cherry salmon) is the source of this 4720-nucleotide long non-coding RNA. RefSeq lists it as uncharacterized. The transcript has 2 exons. Lineage: Eukaryota; Metazoa; Chordata; Actinopteri; Salmoniformes; Salmonidae. The record is from RefSeq and is a predicted model, not a curated record.
UCUCCUACCUCCCACCCUCUCCAACCUUCCUCUCCUCUCCCCUCAUAGUCCAUCAGCCACCCUCUCCUCUCCCCUCAUAAAGAGACCAUCAGCCACCCUCUCCUCUCCUCUCCCCUCAUAAAGAGACCAUCAGCCACCCUCUCCUCUCCCCUCAUAAAGAGACCAUCAGCCACCCUCUCCUCUCCCAUCAUAAAGAGACCAUCAGACACCCUCUCCUACCUCCCUCCCUCCCCUCCUCUCUUCUGCCAUGCAAACAUAGACCAUCGGACACACACUCCUCCCUCCCCUCCUCCCUCUCCUACCUCCCUUUCUCCUACCUUUCUCCUAGACCAUCAGCCACCCUCUCCUCUCCCCUCAUAAAGAGACCCUCAGCCACUCUCUCCUCUCCCCUCCCCUCCCCUCAUAAAGAGACCCUCAGCCACCCUCUCCUCUCCCCUCAUAAAGAGACCAUCAGCCACCCUCUCCUCUCCUCUCCCCUCAUAAAGAGACCAUCAGCCACCCUCUCCUCUCCUCUCCCCUCAUAAAGAGACCAUCAGCCACUCUCUCCUCUCCCCUCCCCUCCCCUCAUAAAGAGACCCUCAGCCACCCUCUCCUCUCCCCUCAUAAAGAGACCAUCAGCCACCCUCUCCUCUCCCCUCCCCUCAUAAAGAGACCAUCAGCCACCCUCUCCUCUCCUCUCCCCUCAUAAAGAGACCCUCAGCCACCCUCUCCUCUCCUCUCCCCUCAUAAAGAGACCCUCAGCCACCCUCUCCCCUCCCCUCAUAAAGAGACCAUCAGCCACCCUCUCCUCUCCUCUCCCCUCAUAAAGAGACCCUCAGCCACUCUCUCCUCUCCCCUCCCCUCCCCUCAUAAAGAGACCCUCAGCCACCCUCUCCCCUCCCCUCAUAAAGAGACCAUCAGCCACCCUCUCCUCUCCUCUCCCCUCAUAAAGAGACCAUCAGCCACCCUCUCCUCUCCCCUCAUAAAGAGACCCUCAGCCACCCUCUCCUCUCCCCUCAUAAAGAGACCCUCAGCCACCCUCUCCCCUCCCCUCAUAAAGAGACCAUCAGCCACCCUCUCCUCUCCCCUCAUAAAGAGACCCUCAGCCACCCUCUCCUCUCCCCUCAUAAAGAGACCCUCUCCCCUCCCCUCAUAAAGAGACCAUCAGCCACCCUCUCCUCUCCUCUCCCCUCAUAAAGAGACCCUCAGCCACCCUCUCCUCUCCCCUCCCCUCAUAAAGAGACCCUCAGCCACCCUCUCCUCUCCCCUCAUAAAGAGACCAUCAGCCACCCUCUCCUCUCCCCUCAUAAAGAGACCAUCAGCCACCCUCUCCUCUCCCCUCAUAAAGAGACCAUCAGCCACACUCUCCUCUCCCCUCCCCUCCCCUCAUAAAGAGACCCUCAGCCACCCUCUCCUCUCCCCUCCCCUCAUAAAGAGACCAUCAGCCACCCUCUCCUCUCCCCUCAUAAAGAGACCCUCAGCCACCCUCUCCUCUCCCCUCAUAAAGAGACCCUCAGCCACCCUCUCCUCUCCCCUCCCCUCAUAAAGAGACCAUCAGCCACCCUCUCCUCUCCCCUCAUAAAGAGACCCUCAGCCACCCUCUCCUCUCCCCUCCCCUCAUAAAGAGACCCUCAGCCACCCUCUCCUCUCCUCUCCCCUCAUAAAGAGACCAUCAGCCACCCUCUCCUCUCCCCUCAUAAAGAGACCAUCAGCCACCCUCCCCUCUCCCCUCAUAAAGAGACCAUCAGCCACCCUCUCCUCUCCCCUCCCCUCCCCUCAUAAAGAGACCCUCAGCCACCCUCACCUCUCCCCUCCCCUCAUAGAGACCCUCAGCCACCCUCUCCUCUCCUCUCCCCUCAUAAAGAGACCCUCAGCCACCCUCUCCCCUCCCCUCAUAAAGAGACCAUCAGCCACCCUCACCUCUCCCCUCCCCUCAUAGAGACCCUCAGCCACCCUCUCCUCUCCCCUCAUAAAGAGACCAUCAGCCACCCUCUCCUCUCCUCUCCCCUCAUAGAGACCCUCAGCCACCCUCUCUGUGCCGCUCUCCCAUCUUUUCUUCCCCACAUAGAGACGAUCACUACCCUCCUCCCCUCACUACCUCUUGAGAUCACCACCGCCGUGUUCAAACAAUCGCUUUAGUCUCCAUCUAUCUCUGUCUGUCAUCAGACAUUGUGUGUUGAUCUUGCUAACCUCGCUUCACAUCACCCCGCUUGGAAAACGACCCAUCUGGAUUUUUACAAAAGACAUGAAUCAGAAGAUAUUGUUUCCUUGACAAUGCUUUUCUCCCCAGCCGGCCACCAGCCUCCAUCUUCCUUCCUCCCUGUGUGUAUCUUCUCUCUCCUGAUCACGGUAUCCUUGUGAAUGACAAAUACUAAUCAGACUCCCACUUACUCCCACUGGUGUGGCUCACCCUCUCUCUUAUACAGCCACGGCUACACACUGUGUUCUUCUUUCUCACUGCAGUAAUAUUGUGCCUGUGGCUCUCUGUCUGCUUUCUCCUGUACGUCAUUCUGCUAACCCAGAUGCUACCCCGGGCAACAAGCUAACAACCCCGGGCAACAAGCUAACUUAGCGGUGGUGGUUUAGAAAGAGGUUGCGAGUGAUGACACCCCAUUGAUCCAGAUGUUCCCCACCAUAGUACAACAACUCCCCCACACCAACUACCAAACCUAUCACCCCACUGGCCGUUAUGACCCGCGUGGAAAUUACAACAACGAUGAUGAAGACGAUGAGGAAGAUGAGGAGGAAGAGGACCCAUUCGCUGGGUAUAGAGGCUAUCCACCUCAGUACUACCAGCCCAAUUACCCUCACCCCCCUGCACGCCCUGCACCCCAAUCCCACUCCCAGGACACUGAGCUAAGGUCCCCAGGGAUAAUGAUGAGCCGUUUCUCCAGAGACGUGGUCACACAGAGAAGAGCCACCGCUAACACAGCCCAGACAGCACAGACAGGACAGAGGAGCGAAGCAGAUACUGAAGGAGAGGUGGAGGCGAUUGGAGAAGUCCAGACAGUCCAACCACCUCUCUAUGUCCCUGUGGGUUAAUGAAGAUGUCAAAAAUAUGUUCGGUAUGCGUCAGUUGCCCCCAUGUCGCUAGCCAGGGUCUCCUGUAUGCUAUUCCUGUAUAAGAGCGCUGUCAGAUUAGGAUAUACCCGAAAAGUGCCUGAUUUGUGUAAAUGCUGGUGUGUGGGAUGUAGGGGGACUGAGGAAGACCAGCUAUCCCCAGUGAUGUAGAUUCAAAUCACGUACCUUUCUAGAGAAGUUGCAUGCAGCCUUUCAGCCAGCGCAUCGAGGAUGACUGGACUGUGUCUUUGGGUUGAUGUGUCAUAGAGGCAAACAUCUUUUUGUAAUUUGAGAUUUAUGAACGAAUGACAUUUGAAGAGUCUGUCAGCUCUUUAUAACCAUGUGUCAUUUACAUUAUAGUGCUUCCAUGUUGACUUCACCCUCAAUCUUUUUAAGUUGUCAAGCCAGUUCUCACAAUGAUUUUUCAGUAUUUGUGUACAGUGUCCUCUCUUCUUGAUUUAAUAUGAUAUACAUUGUGACCUCUGUUGAAGCAGCCCCCCCCCCCCCCACACUGUUAUUGUACGAUGAGGAAUUUGUUUUUUUUAAGUAUGCCUAAACAUUAAGGAACCAAACUUUAACCACUGUCCUAUCAAAGAAAAGUACAGCUAUUGUAAGACUCUCAAGCUGUCUUGUCCAAUCGUACCGUUAUCACAUUGUUGAUUGACAUGGACUUGGUCUUGUCCAAUCGUACCGUUAUCACAUUGUUGAUUGACAUGGACUUGGUCUUGUCCAAUCGUACCGUUAUCACAUUGUUGAUUGACAUGGACUUGGUCUUGUCCAAUCGUACCGUUAUCACAUUGUUGAUUGACAUGGACUUGGUCUUGUCCAAUCGUACCGUUAUCACAUUGUUGAUUGACAUGGACUUGGUCUUGUCCAAUCGUACCGUUAUCACAUUGUUCAUUGACAUGGACUUGGUCUUGUCCAAUCGUACCGUUAUCACAUUGUUCAUUGACAUGGACUUGGUCUUGUCCAAUCGUACCGUUAUCACAUUGUUGAUUGACAUGGACUUGGUCUUGUCCAAUCGUACCGUUAUCACAUUGUUGAUUGACAUGGACUUGGUCUUGUCCAAUCGUACCGUUAUCACAUUGUUGAUUGACAUGGACUUGGUCUUGUCCAAUCGUACCGUUAUCACAUUGUUGAUUGACAUGGACUUGGUCUUGUCCAAUCGUACCGUUAUCACAUUGUUGAUUGACAUGGACUUGGUCUUGUCCAAUCAUACCGUUAUCACAUUGUUCAUUGACAUGGACUUGGUCUUGUCCAAUCGUACCGUUAUCACAUUGUUCAUUGACAUGGACUUGGUCUUGUCCGACCGGGUGUUAGUUUCACUUACUCUCGUCACAGGCAAUGACAGAGAAGGUGCUGGAAUGACUUGUGAUGAGCUCCACAAAUCUGAAGUUUAAUGUUUUCCUUAUUGCCUUUCCAAUUUGUUGUUGUUGUUGUUAUUAUGAUGAUUAUUAUGCAACGUGGUGCCCGUCCACUGUGAGGAGAGUGUUGAAGAUAGUUAGGCCUGUGGUCUAAUUUGUGUUUUUGGACAGAAAUGGAAUUCCGAAUGUAGAACUAACAGGUACCAGUGAAAUGUCUCAUCAGACCACACCACCAAACCUUUGAAACUGAUUUAGGAAGUUAUUUAUUUAUACUUUAUUAUUUGUUUUAUAACCAAUAAAACUGUAAUUCAACAGUG